This 181-nucleotide unclassified non-coding RNA is filed under the name uncultured Auriculariales. RNAcentral's name for it is "sequence contains ITS2". The record is from RNAcentral. Lineage: Eukaryota; Fungi; Basidiomycota; Agaricomycetes; Auriculariales.
UAACCCUCGCCAACCUGACGGUAACACGUCGGGAGAAGCGGAUUUGGACGUUGCCGGUCGUGAGAUCGGCUCGUCUCGAAAUGCAUUAGCUGACGUGAGACGCAUGCGCGACGUUGAUAAUUGUCUACGCCUCGUGGGUGUCGAGCGACGCUUCCAAUCGCCGUGAAGGCAACGUAUCGAA